CGGUCGUUCAUUAGGUCAUCUAGCUAAAUUUUACUAAGCUAGCUGCCUAGUGAAGGGC
Molecule: microRNA precursor, 58 nt
Filed under: Anopheles gambiae (African malaria mosquito)
Lineage: Eukaryota; Metazoa; Arthropoda; Insecta; Diptera; Culicidae
Description: microRNA aga-mir-980 precursor
Gene: aga-mir-980
Source: miRBase by way of RNAcentral